Molecule: long non-coding RNA, 390 nt
Organism: Engraulis encrasicolus (European anchovy)
Lineage: Eukaryota; Metazoa; Chordata; Actinopteri; Clupeiformes; Engraulidae
Exons: 4
Source: RefSeq, a predicted model, not a curated record
AGAAAUGUACCACGUGAUGCAGUAGCCUGUUGAUGCUGGCAAAAGAUGCAAUCUGGAGGAUUUCAGGAGAUGGCUCUUGCUCACUGGCAGUGACUUGGGUCAUACGAGACAGCAUCAGAGCUCGGGUGACAUCUCUCGCUCGGGUGAAAUCUCUCCUGGAAGAUUUCAAGGUGUGUGCAGAGUUCUGAAGAAUAAAAGUCAACAGUCAAGUUCUUCUCCAUAUUCUCCAAAUCUGACGGAGGCGUUCCAUCAGGAAAGGGGGAAUGGUUGGUCGAUGCCUCCAGAAUAAUGAUACCCAUGACCCAGGCACAACAUGCUGACAGGGAAUCGGCUAUGGCAGAAAGCAUCCAUGCCAUCUACGUGAUCCGCCAUGAAGGUUCAGAAGCUACU